UUCUUUUCUAACCGCUUUCGAUACUAAGUCUAACGUCUAAGCUGCGCGCACACAGCGAGCAUCGCGAUAUAUUUACGCGAACGGGGAGAUCACGGCAAGAACGGUGGCAGCGGUCCAGCAGACGUGGCGUUACGGAAAUAGAUUUCGGCGGCGAUGCAACGGCCGCCCGCGGACGAGCAGCGCCGGUUCAAGCCAACACCGGAGACAGGGCCCAGUAUCGUGCGGACCAGUUCCCGAGAAAAACCGGAAAGGUCAACCCCCGGCGAGGUGUCCCACAUGAACAACCCGGGAGCUGAAAAAUGGCGACCGAUGGCCAUAUCGAAUCCGUCCACCAAGUUGCGAAUGGCGAGAUCCAUGCCUCACUGGGUCAUGGCGCAGCAGCAGCAGCGGGAAGCAGAGCAGCAGCUUCUUCGACCCCCGACGCCCCCGAAAAUCCCGCCACCGUCGCUCACCGGGGACUGUGGUGACCCCGACUACGAGAUCAUCGAGUUUCCGACCCGACCGCAAGCCCAGAAACCCUCGACCCCCCGAUCGUGUGCCGGUAAGUGCGCCUUGUGCGGCACCGAGAACGUGUUCGCGCGAUGCGACACGUGUAACGAGAUCUACUGCGAGGCCUGCGACGACAUGAACCACAAGCACCCGAAGCGGAGAGGCCACAUCCGCAGAAGGAUCCUGACUGACAACGCGAUCAGAAACAGACCGCCGCUCCCGCCGAAGGGGGAGAACCUGUUGAAUCCUCCGCCGGUCCCGCCGCCGCGAAGGAACCGCAAGUCCACCCAGGCUAAAUCGGCGCUAAUCAAAGGAUCCGCGCAAUUCCCUUUGCUCGACAAGGUCGGGAGUUUGAGGCGCAAUGUUUCUAAUGCGAAACCAUCGCUGGACUCGAGCACAAGAGUGUCGCAAUCUACGAAUACAUUAAACACAUCUUCCAACGAUGGUUCAGGAGCAGGAACAGACAAAAUGACUACACUACAGGAGAGGUAUAGAAAAUAUCAGGAAGUGAUGCGAGCUCAAGACGCGAACAGGCGACGACACCCAUCCGCUGAUACGAGGGACACUUCGAGCGGAAGACAACUCAAUGUAGGCAGUCCUAAACCGCCACUUCCACCUCCGCCGCCCCCUAGAACUAUGAUACAAUCAGCCAGCGUUUGUGAUUUGACCUCUGCUCAUAUGUGGAAUUCAGGAAUGCAUCAGGCCCAGUCGAUAGCACAUCUCGGACCUGGCGGCAUGCCGAUGAUGUGGUAUCCGCCAGCUAACUCCUGGGACGUAUCGAUGGGAGGCUCUAACAUUAGUCUACAUCAUCCAAACAUGUGGGGAUAUCCCAUGGGCUAUCCGUCAGUGCAAAUGCUACCUCCACAUUAUCCGGGAUCUCUCUCUAGAGGACACAGUCCGGCCAGGAGCGUCAAGUCCAGUAGAAGAUCAAGGGCGCCGUCUCCGUCUCCCAGUCUGAAAUCCAAAAAAUCUUACGCUUCGAGAUCGCGAUCGAGGAGAUCACCCGGGUCACCGUCAGAUGCUAGUUCCGAGAACUCCGAUGAAUCUGAUGUGGACGACAGACUUUCUCGUGGAUCCAGAAGUAGGCGCGGCAGCGUUCCCAAAAGCAUACGACAGCGAAGUUAUCAUGACGACGAGACCAGAAGUCUCGCGUCUAGAGGUCGACGAGAAAGAUUAAUGUCCGAAGAAAAAAUAAUAAAUGCCGAUGAUCGAUGGUCUGAAAGUCCGUCCAGUAAACAAUACUCGACAUCCUCGAGAAGCUAUGAUGAAUUUCAAAAAAGCAAUACUAUCUCUUCUGGACGACGAUACAAUGACGAUGAUCACUCGGUUUCGAAAAUAGAUCCUCGGCUGGAUCGCAUUCAGAACGGGACUUAUCGUCGAAGACGAAGUAUCGACAAUGAGUCCUCUGAUCGAAAAGUUAACGCGCCGGGCCGAACACGAGUUACAAGCUCGUCUGAUGAUCAUUUCGAGAGGGUGGAAAAUGCUUUGAAGAGAGCGUCGUCUCUUCGAAGGGACAUAAUGCUGGAUGACCUGGAACGAUCCUCUAUUCGUCGCGAUUCUCGUAGAUCAUCCUUUGAGAGCGAUGGUCAGAUCAGGAAGACACCUUCCCGAGAUGUGACCUCUCCAAAAAGAACACCCGGAGAAAGAACACGCCUUCUGGAGAGGCAGUCUUCUCAAGGUGGACAUUCAGAUAGGGAUCGCGUGAACGUAGACGAGAUCGAAUCGCGUUCGUCAAGAAAAGAUCAACAAGUGCGUGAUGUCUCACGAGAACGCAAUCUUGCGAGGAGAGAAUCGCUCCAACGAAAGGAUAUUCUUGAUGAUCUAGACCGGACUUCCAACAAACGAAGUUCCGAUAGAUCUUCGUUCGAAUCCGACAAUCAAGGCAUUAGAAAAACACCCUUCAAGGAAAUAAAAAAACAGUUGGACAAGGAUAAUCGAAAUCUGCCUGAAACGAUAAGUAAUGAAGUUAUGGAUCGUCAGCGAUCGAUCGAGAAGGACCGUCAGUCGAAGGAUUCAGUACGAACUGCCGAGGCGCAACAAAAGAGACAGGACAGCGGACAAGAAGAGACGAAACAACAACAAGCGCAAACGUCUCAGUCUCAGAAAGAGUCAAGGGUAACAAAGAGAGACACUGUUGAAAGUGCGAGCACAUCAUCUAAGAAAAUCACGUCCGACGAGGCGGUUGGCGUAAUGGAAAUUCCGAAAGAGGAAUGGGCCUGCGAACAUUGCACCUUCAUCAACAAGAUCAAUGAUCGCGUUUGCGUAGUUUGCUGCAAGACGAAGAGCAGCGCAUUGCCACCGAGCACCUUGAAUGACGACUCCGUGGCCGGCCCGAUCGAACAUCAGGCACCGAAAAACGAAGCGCCGAACAGCGUCGGCGAUCCCAAUCACGAGCCCGAUAAGCGGAUCAAGAAGAUCUCCAACAGCGAAGAGAGCGGCGACAGCGGAUCCGUCAAGAAUAAAGAAAUUGCUCCAGACAAUGAUUCUCUCGUAGAGAACUCUAAAACUGCAAUCACGGCUGUAGCCUCACAAGCAAAAGAAACGUCGUCGAAAUCGACAGACGCGAUCGAUGAGAACUUGUCGUUAGAAGUGUCAUCCUCGACGUUAACGUCCUCUUCGAUUGCGAAAACCUCCGAGGUAGACAUGAGCGUGACGUCACACGAGGAAAAAAUUCAAGGAAAACUUUUGAAGAACCAUUCAGUAUCUACAGGAACAUCUCCUCCGCCACAGAGUAUCUCAACUCAAACUUAUGACUAUCUCCCUGCAAAAGGGACUCUCAAAAGGUCCGCGUCUGUAGCAACGUCAAAGAGUUACUUGUAUUACGACGAUAGCGACGGUGAGGAGCAGAGCGGAUUCGUAAACAGUCCCGAUUUGUAUCCGCGAGCAUUGCAGGAACAGUAUCUUCAGCAACUGUUAACCGGACAGCGAAGUAGAGAGCGGACCAGAAGAAACUCCAUCGACUCGUCCCAUCUCUAUUAUCGUUCCAGGGAACCCAGCCAAUCGAGAUACGUAGAGACAGGUCCUAGUACCAGUCAAGGAGUCUCGACGUUAACGCGUCAAGGGUUGGAGAUAGUGGAGCUCCUGCGAGAAGCCGAGAAGCAGGGAUUCACGACCGACGACGUGCAAGUCGCGUUGGCGCAAGGCGCAUCAAAUCCGAUCGAGUGGCUUCAGACGCAGUGGCCGCAUCUGGUUGAGACUGUGCAAGUCUUAGUGACCACGCAGGGCAAAGAACUGAAGGAGAACAGCAUCGGUGUGCUCUCGCCGGCUGAGGCAAAGGAGGCUCUGCGAUAUGUCAAGGGUGACAUGUGGAACGCAGUCGCGACUGCCAUUCAACGCAGGCAGCAGAAAUGCGAACAGAUCAUGGCAAAGGGAAACUUCGCGCUUGCGGACGUUAUCAGGGCUCUCGACAAUAACGCUGGUGUCGAGGAUGCCACUUUGCUCGAGCUGCAGAAAAAUCAGCUCAAGCCUUUUUUAAUGAGGAUCUGGGGUCCUCCGAUCGGGGUGGAAAACGAGGAGGCUGCACCGCAUGAAGACGCAGCGGGUGCGGUCGGUGGUGGGGCGGUGGAACAAAUUCCAAAUAUGUCCGAUACCGAGGCGCAGAAGCAGGUAAUAUCACCAAUUGUUGAUCAUUUCGUGGCGUUGCAGGCCGACUUUCAAAAGCAACUGGCAGCCCUCAGAGAACUGACCGAUAACUGGCGACACGAGAAAGAUCCCCCGAACAAAUUGGGUAAUAAUAAGUCUGAUAAUCUGUACGAACGCUCUGAUGAGCUCACUGUUCUAAUCGAUGCAAAUCUGGUCCCAAGGGCCGUACAACAAGCGCCCGACGUAGCGGAGCCGAACGAUCUUGCGAUCGCGCGGCAAGAACAGGCGACUGCCGUAGAUUCGCGGGACGACUAUUCUUUGAACGCUACGAAACCGACAGAAGGCCUGAUCCAAGUAGACACCGCGUUGCCCAUGGAAAUUCCCGCGACCAUAAUCGAUGAUCUCAUGAGGACAAGUGCGACAAACUCCUCACGCGUGCCUGAACAUUCUUCUGAAAUUGACAAUGCUAACCGUGCGGUCGGAGAAACAUCGUCAAUUGACUCUGACAAAACCGUCAUGCGAAUUACCGAGUCGUCCGAUAUACCAACAUCCGAUGGUCAAAAGAGCAACAACGUCGAGGUGAAACAAGCCGCGCCGUCGCGCGAAGAGACGAGAGCAACGGGCAGCGACAUCUCGACGACAUCGAUCGACGAGGCUGCAGUGACGACGAAAGUAGUUACGAAUUCACUGGAUGAACAGGAAAGACUGUUGCCAAAUAAUGCCGGAGUUGAAGAAUCCUCAUCGAGCGAAGCUACGGUUAAUAUAACGAAUAAUACGGAACUGGGUCAGUCCUUUUCCGCAUACCAGGAAACUUUGAGAGCUGAAUUAUCUUCUGAUAUAGUGGGACGGAGCACCGCGACGGGGAACAGCAAGUCACUCGAAGUUGGAAAGUCUGCGCAACUGAACGGAGCGCUUGGUGUCUCCGUCCAGGAGUCGAGUGGUCCCCAACGAGCCGAUGUUCUGCCGGAGAAGACAUCAUCACAGGACGUAACUACAAUCGCGGAUCCGGAAAACAUGAUCUCUUCAGAUCUCUCCGUGAGGGAUCUUUCCGCACGGGAACAAUCUGAUCGGUCUAUCACAGAGGAAGUUCCCAAGCAGAACAUGGAGACUCUACUGUCCGCUGUGAAAUCGUUGCCGGAGCAGUUUGUGACGUCGUUCAUAACGGCGAUGCAGAUGCUGUCGCCCGGGAAAAGUGACGUCGACGCAACUUCUGACGUGCGGCUCAUGAACCAAUUAAAUACUCUACACAGCAUGAUGAAGACAGAGGACCCGAAAACCAACGCGCUCGGAGUCGAGAUCACCGAUAGGACGAAUGUUGACGUUCCGCGGGACUCGGCGGACGUUCCACCGAAUAACGACGAAGAGAAGCCGCCUGCUUCUCGAGCAGCCGUGCUUGAGAAGAAAGUCGGAUCGCGGUUGCCACGGGAGAAGAAGGAUCGGGAGGAAGGAGACAAACGUUCGGAGAAAGGUCCUGAGAAAUCGAGAAGCGGCAAGAUCGUCGAUAAGGAGAUCGGCAGAUCCAAGCCUCCGGAUUCUCGGAUGGCGAGGCCCCGCUCGAGCGUUCCGGACAUUAAGCAGCAGCAUCAGGAUGUCAGAUCGGUACGUACAGACACGAACGCACAGUCCGACGUCUCUCAAACUAACAUCGCAACGGAUCUGACACCCGAAACGUUUUCCAACUCGGACUCAACGGUGGAAGAAGAAGAUAUUCCCGAGGAAUCGCGGACUACGAACGUGAUAGCAGUAAACGUUGCCGGGGAGACACAUUCGCGUAAGAAUUCUUUAGACAUAAUCGACACGCAGUUCACAGGAAAUAACAAUCAAGAGAGACCUGUCGCAGACGAAACCAUGUCGGAGGCGAGGUCAGCUGGGGAAACUCAUUCAGGUGAAUCAUCGAGUUCUCACAUGCGAGCACCGUUAACAGUAUCUUCAGCGCAUGAUCAGUCUGUCGUCCAGAAACCUCACGAGCUCGCGAUCGCAUCCGGCGAUGGCUCGACCGAUGCGUCGCCAUCAUUAUUAUCAUCAUCAUCAUCAUCAUCAAAGGAAGCGGAAAGCUCUUCCGAAAAAGCGCCAUCUCAUGAAAAGCUUCUCGCUGAUAACGCCUUCACAGACACUGAUCCACUGCUAAAAAGCGACUCAACGCGAGAUAAAAGUUCAUUAGCUUCAAAUGAUUCUAACGCUAGAGAAUCUGCUUCUCGAUCUACGAAAACGAGAGAUUCGCCCGCUCGUAGUUCUAACACCGAUCGUGCGCCCGCCGCGACUAAUACGCAAUUGACCGACCAGCGGAAUGUUAACAAACGGGACGAACGGCAAUUAAACGAUUCAUCUCGCGCGCGUAUUUUAACACCAGCCUCGCCGACUCCAUCCCCCGCGAAAGCGCCCGAUCGUUCUUCUCUCGACGUUAAAUUACCGCCCGUCGAAAUACUCGAUAAUCACGAUGGUGCGACAUUGCGUCAUGAUACAAAGCCGAUCGUACCGAAGAAUGCGGUGCACGUUUCGGAAAAAGUGGAACAGACAAUUUCGGUCACAUAUCACACUCCCGCGAGCGACGAUAAAAAUGAAGCCACGCUGAAAGAAAACGUGUCCGUUGAGCGAAAUACGGUCGAUGAUUUAUCCAUUACUCAAUCGACGACCCCAUCGCCAUUAACACGCUCGCAUUCCUCUCCCGCGGAAAUAAAUUCAAAUAAAUCUCAUGAUCAAGGGAAGGAAGUUACAUUUAUCUCGUCAACAUCCGCCGAUUUUUCAAUGGUCAAACGAAAUCAAGACAAAUUAUUGAAUCGGACAAAAAGUCCAGAGGUAGUUGCACUUCGCGUAGCGCACGUAGAAGCAACAAUGUCACUCUCUUCUCCUCCAAAAAGUAAUAUCGAAGCCAAUGCUUGCCCCGAAAAUACCUCGCAUCUUGAAAUAUCGAACGGCUUUGACGACCCGAAAGCUUCGAGAGUUAUUAAAAUUGCAGAGGAUGCCAAAACGGCAUCUAUUCCCGAAACUUCAGAAUCAAUUGUCCGCGAAAAGUUCGUAAAUGCAAAUAUUGAUAAUCCUCUCGAAGGAAAUACACGCGGUCAGUUAUGCGAAUUAUCGAACGAUAGUAAUAACGACAGGCAGUCUCUUCGACUACCUGUCGAACGCGAUCUUCCCUCGGAGUCGAAAAAAAGUACCUCGUGUCCCGCCCUAUGCGACGCGGAAGUUCGUUCGUCCGGGGACGAAGUUUCUCAAUCUCACGGUGACGGGAAACAGGACGCACAAACGUCAGAUUCAGCGACAAGCAACAUCUUACGUGCGCUUAAAAAUCUCAAUAUAUUCUUCGCAGCGCCGACCGAGGGGAGAAAUGCCGCCUCAACGGUCGGCGAAGGCUCCCUUCCGGAUCCUAUUAUGGCGAAUGUCGUCGGCGACGUAACGCCCGGAAUACCUGACACCUUCGAAAUAAAGAUAUCGGAAUCACCGGUGACAACGGUGAACGAUUGCGCGCCGAUAAAGAACAUCGCGAGUGUCGUCGAGACCGGUCGAACCGGAGGCGUUGAUACGAUCGGCGCGGAAAUCGGUGCGAGAGAUGUCGAUUCGUCCGAGAACGAAGUUUCAAUUGUCGCACAUAACGAACCGGUUGAACCGGCGCGGUCAAAAUUACCGUUGGAAAAAAACAGCGAACGGGUGAAUCAAUCUCGCAAAAGCGCGAUCGCGAAACCCGUCGUGAGAUCGAGAUCGCCUGUUAAAAAGAUCGUCCGAAGAAAGUCGCCCGUUAAGAUAAUAAAAAAAUCGGCCAGUGUGCCAAAGAAAAACUUAGCGCGGAAUAGCGCAAGUCCAUUCAGUACAAUCGAUAUAACGUCCGUCGCAAAAGCGAAAGUGACGACCAGCGAGAUCGCUAAGAGGUCGAAUCGAACAACGCAAUCCGUCAAAUUACGAAUUAAAGAGCCUUCAAAGUACGCGAGCGGCGGGACGGACGGUAAAAAUAAAUCGGUUGCUGAUAACAAAAUGGAGAGAGAUAGUUCAAAAUCUGAAACCUCUUUGUCGUCGGAAAUACCAGAUAAAACUAUUGAACGGUCAUUAAAUAAUAGCAGCGCGCAAAAAAGUAUUGAAAAUAUCAAAGUAAAUGAUAAUAAAAGGGUUUCCACGUUCGAAGAGAAAGCGUCGAUAGUCAAUAACGCGACCAAUCUCGAACCGCAAACUAAAUUGCCUGUUGUUAAAAAAUAUAAUGGAAAUAAAUCGGAAAAUUCUAAAAAGAGAUCGCUCGAAUAUUUUAAAAACAAAAAUAUUGAGGAUGUCCUAAAUAAAAAUCCGGGAGGCUCGAAUAGUACGAAAGUGAAGGCUUUUGAAAAUCAAGCAGUAGAGAAGGUAAAUCGAAAAACUAAAAUCUCGAGUGGCAAAAUUUCAGUAAAAAUAGAGAAGGAUAAUUCAAAACCUAAAACAGCUUUACCGUCGAAAAUACCUAUUCUGAUGCAACGAAAAAUCGCUCAAUCUGCAGAUACUGCUGUGUCAAACCCCUGUAAAAUAAAUCUAAAUGACACGUCUUUAUCGAAAAAUGCGUCAACCAAAUUGCCAGUGAUGUCUCAAGCAGUUUCGAAAUUAUCGCUACAAAUUCAGGAAAGAGCGAACGUAUCGAGUCCACCAACUGUGCAGAAAAUUGAUUCCGAUACUAACAAACUGAUGAGAAAUCAAAUUAAAUCUCGUAACGGAGGUACGAUUGAAAUUACAGAAAAUGUGAAAGACAAGCAAAUCUCGGAGGAGAGUCAUGAUAAAGAGAGCACCGUGGGAAGUGAAGAAACCGAAGAGCCGUCGAAAGUUAAGUCAAUAGAAUCGGAAUUAAACGAGAAUUCACAAGCGUCGAACUCGACGCAUAACGAUCCGUCCACGGAUCUUGGCAAACAAUUGGAAGUCGAAAACGCAAUUGAGGAAAGCUCGGAUGCUUUCAGCUCGAGUUCCGAGUAUUCUGAAGAGGACGAAGACACAGGUACGGCGAAGUACAUUUCUGAUCAUAACUCGGAAUACAAUUCCGUCGAGGAGGAGUUCACGGACGCGGAGUUGUUGUUGGAAAAAACGCUAAAUGAGAUAAGGUCUGAAAUAUCGGAGUCUGAGGAGGAGGGGUGCACAGGCGAAUCCGAGGAAAGUGAGGACGUCACUUAUUCGUACGAGACGGAAAGCCACGAUCAUGAUGAUUCCACGUCGUUCGACGACUCGGUACGGGAGAUUAAGUCGAGUGAGCUCGAGGAUUCGGCGGAGGAAGAUGCAUAUGAAGAACUACCAUCCGAAGGGGAAGAAGCGAAUGAAACUUUGGAAGAAUUUCAAACGCCUGAUAAAGAGAUCGAUGAUACAAUACACAACGAAACGACUAAUGACCGAGCCAAUAUUUCGAGUGCAAUGGAGAAUAAUUCUCAGGUCGCGCAAGAAGAUGGAAAAAGUAAUUUGAAGGCACCAACUCUGGAAGCCACUGUGGUCAUAGAAUUAUCUCGAUCGGAAAUAAACACGGAAAUCGAUGAAAAGAUAUCGGAAGUUUUUCAAAGUCUUGAAACAGAGUCUAACGUUGUAACGGAUUUAGCAGCGUCCUCGACGAAGGUUGGGCCGAGUAUAAAAUCUAAGGAAAAUAUUUCGUUGAAAGCGAACGAGACGCAGAAAAAUGAGACGGAACUCGUGGACGCGAACAAAACUGAGGAGAGAGAUCAAUCGACAGUACAGAACGACACAAUAAAGACACUGAGAGUCACGAAUAACGAAUCACGUGAGAAACGCGUGAAGGCAGGCCGAAGGGCGAGUACGGGGUGUAAAGAGGUGAAAAUCGAGAAAGAUGACACGUUAAAGGGGGUGGAUCGGGCGCGAGCGCCCAAGAAACGAUUUUCCCUCGUAGCCAGUUGCAUCCGUCGGUUCGAGGGCGAAGAGAAUGCCGAUAGGGCGCAUGUGGAAAGCAUCAGGCGCAAGAUACAAGGAUCUCCCAAAACGGAGCGGGAGGUCAGUAGAUGAGAGUUGAGUGAGCCGAAUGACAUGACGCGACUUCCCCCUCGUAGAAAUGUCAGUUGCCAAAAAGUACCCGCGAACGUACGAGUCGCCAAGAACCGGACCUUUUCCACCAGUUGGCAGGCCAAUGUCUACAAACAGCUCGAAAUGCCAAGUGGGUGGGAAGGGGGAUCGAACGCCACAAAUAGGUGUUUCCCCUCAAUGUUUUAACCGCGCGAUCAAUUGGUUAAUCGUUUAACAAGACGAAACGUAGCUAACGCGAAGAGAAUAGCGCGUCGUCUUCUGGCGGAGGGUCGAGCCGCGAAUUACGAUGAGGCCGAGGUCGCUGCUAGUUUGCUGACCCUUAAGUUCGGGGAUGCGGAGGCACUUCAGGCCGCGAAAGAAUGCUCC
RNAcentral lists this unclassified non-coding RNA (10401 nucleotides) under Monomorium pharaonis (pharaoh ant). RNAcentral's name for it is "e3 ubiquitin-protein ligase lubel, transcript variant X4". The record is from RNAcentral. Lineage: Eukaryota; Metazoa; Arthropoda; Insecta; Hymenoptera; Formicidae.